CGUGAGUAACCUGCCUUGGAGUGGGGAAUAACACAGUGAAAACUGUGCUAAUACCGCAUAAUGCAUUUGGGUUGCAUGAUUCUGAAUGCCAAAGAUUUAUCGCUCUGAGAUGGACUCGCGUCUGAUUAGCUAGUUGGCGGGGUAACGGCCCACCAAGGCGACGAUCAGUAGCCGGACUGAGAGGUUGGCCGGCCACAUUGGGACUGAGACACGGCCCAG
Molecule: ribosomal RNA, 219 nt
Filed under: uncultured bacterium
Lineage: Bacteria
Description: partial 16S ribosomal RNA
Rfam family: Bacterial small subunit ribosomal RNA
Source: RNAcentral